GGAGAGGUGGCCGAGUGGUCGAAGGCGCUCCCCUGCUAAGGGAGUGUGCGCCAAAAGCGUACCGUGGGUUCGAAUCCCAUCCUCUCCGCCA
RNAcentral lists this transfer RNA (91 nucleotides) under Maricaulis maris. Its description in RNAcentral is "tRNA-Ser". It matches the Rfam family "tRNA". From Rfam's summary of the family: Transfer RNA (tRNA) molecules are approximately 80 nucleotides in length. Their secondary structure includes four short double-helical elements and three loops (D, anti-codon, and T loops). Lineage: Bacteria; Pseudomonadati; Pseudomonadota; Alphaproteobacteria; Maricaulales; Maricaulaceae. The record is from RNAcentral. RNAcentral also lists the same sequence under 3 other names.